CAAGUGUUGUAAUCAUGAUUAACUAAGUGUGACAGGAGCUCUUCUCCCUCCUUACCGCUAUACGGCACUGUGCCAUGCGCCUCCGCGCAUUUGUCACUAUGGGCGGCGCCGGUAGUAUAAAUACAGGGGUGUGGCGUAGCUCGUGACUCACCUGUCAACUCCUUCGCUGGUGGCUGGAGCACGGCGUGGCCGAAAUUAAUUGUUUGGCGUGGCAGCCGUUUCGCAACAGUUGCAUCCGUACAGCGCAUCUGACUGCCGGUGCGGUGGCGAAGAAAUUGCUUCGCUGAAGACUCCCCUGGGCGCAGUGUUGUUAUCACCUGCGGGAUUUUGCCAUGGCCUGUGCGCCUCUCUCCCCUGACGGCUCGGGUGCUGUGCUGUGGCUCAAUAGAUUGGGUGCUAUUAAUUGUUAGGUCCACCUUCGGACAACUGGUCCUGCUGUUUUGGGUCUUUCCAGUGACUCACUGAUGGGAUAAACUUGCCGUUGCUUUGCGAGCUCCGUGGCUGGUGACGUGCCCCCUCCCCCCCUUCUGGACUCUGAAGCGGUUCGGGCUCUCCGGGAACUCGCCGACCAAUUCUCACGGAUAAGCUACAACUCACUGUUUAAUUUAAGAAACUGUUAUCUUGGUUUUGUUAUUUUGUUUUGUUAAUUUAGUUUAUAGUGUUUUCCUUGUUUAACAUUGACCAUUGCGUACAGACUGUAUUUGGAUAAGUUAAUUAAUUUGGUUGUAUUUGUUUGAUUAUUUAUUUAGUAGUUUAUUUAAGUGUAAUACUGUGUGGAGGUUUUAACCGUCUUCCUCGUGUUAGACAGGUGCUGUGGGCCUGAGGCGGCAACCCCAGUCCCUGGUGCUGGUGUUCUUCACGAGUCCUAUUGUUUGGUUUGCGGUAUCACGGGUGGUUUUGAGAUGGGCCCUUCCCCCUUUUUAUUUAUUGCCGCCUGGUAAGCCCC
Molecule: long non-coding RNA, 946 nt
Organism: Notothenia coriiceps (black rockcod)
Lineage: Eukaryota; Metazoa; Chordata; Actinopteri; Perciformes; Nototheniidae
Exons: 3
Source: RefSeq, a predicted model, not a curated record